CGCGAGACAACUCUCUCUAAAGAACUCAGCAAAAUAGCCUCAUAACUUCAGGAGAAGGGAUGUGCCUCCUCACAAAAGGGGCCAUAGUGACAAGGCCCGAGCGAUUGUUUACUAAAAAUAAAGGUCUCCGCAAACUCGUAAGACAAUGUAUGGGGGUUGACGCCUACACAGUACCUGAAGGUCAAGGAAGUUGAUGACCUAAUGACAAGGAAGCCGACAACUGAAGCCUCGGCGAAUGGCGAUCGUAACCAUAAUGGUCCUAAGGUAGCAAAAUUCCUUGUCUGGUAAAUUCAUGACCUACAGGAAAGGUGUAAUGAUUUGGGUACUGCCUCAGAGAGAGGCUCG
This is a ribosomal RNA of Gossypium arboreum, 345 nucleotides long. It matches the Rfam family "Bacterial large subunit ribosomal RNA", at positions 1689 to 2035 of the family's 2925-position model. Lineage: Eukaryota; Viridiplantae; Streptophyta; Magnoliopsida; Malvales; Malvaceae. The record is from Rfam.